AUGCUUCAGCAGCCCAUAUACUAAAAUUGGAAUGAUACAGCAUGACCCCUGUGCAAGGAUAACACACAAACUCAUGAAGCGUUCCAUAUUUCU
RNAcentral lists this small nuclear RNA (93 nucleotides) under Otolemur garnettii (small-eared galago). The record is from RNAcentral. Lineage: Eukaryota; Metazoa; Chordata; Mammalia; Primates; Galagidae.